RNAcentral lists this ribosomal RNA (456 nucleotides) under uncultured bacterium. RNAcentral's name for it is "bacterial SSU rRNA". It matches the Rfam family "Bacterial small subunit ribosomal RNA", at positions 340 to 786 of the family's 1533-position model. The record is from RNAcentral.
UACGGAAGGCAGCAGUGGGGAAUAUUGCACAAUGGGCGAAAGCCUGAUGCAGCUAUGCCGCGUGUAUGAAGAAGGCCUUAGGGUUGUAAAGUACUUUCAUCGGGGAGGAAAAAACAAAACUAAUAAUUUUAUUUCUUGACGUUACCCGAAAAAGAAGCACCGGCUAACUCCGUGCCAGCAGCCGCGGUAAUACGGAGGGUGCUAGCGUUAAUCAGAAUUACUGGGCGUAAAGAGCACGUAGGUGGUUUUUUUAAGUCAGAUGUGAAAUCCCUGGGCUUAACCUAGGAACUGCAUUUUGAAACUGAAAUACUAGAGUAUCGUAGAGGAAGGUAGAAUUCUAGGUGUAGCGGUGAAAUGCGUAGAUAUCUGGAGGAAUACCUGUGGCGAAAGCGGCCUCCUAAACGAAUACUGACACUGAGGUGCGAAAGCGUGGGGAGCAAACAGGGAUUAGAUACC